This 536-nucleotide long non-coding RNA is filed under the name Mus spicilegus (steppe mouse). RNAcentral describes it as "lncRNA (ENSMSIG00000023955.1)". Lineage: Eukaryota; Metazoa; Chordata; Mammalia; Rodentia; Muridae. The record is from RNAcentral.
GGAACAUUUAGGAUUCCAAACAUCUUUAAAAAGGAUGAGGUCGGCAGAAGAGUCAGCAACCAGGCUGACUCACUGCUACUUUCAAAGGAGUUAUUGAGGUGGACAAAGACUGACCCGUGGAAUAGGGACAGAAACCCAAGAGAGAGUUAAAAACAGAGGACUUCAGCGUGAAAAGGUUCCCUAGCCAUGGGGGAGGAGGGUCACAUUGAAAAGAAAGGGAUUAAUUAUACUUGAAAUCUCACAGGAAACUUUUUCUCUUAUAGAGGACAAAAAUGAAGAAUGAAGUUUAUAAUCUGUACUGAAGUAUGUACCAGGUCAGGUGCUGAAGAUGCACACAUGGCUGGAGGCAGGGGAGAAACUGGGACAAGUUUAACACAAAUUGAGUUCAUAUUGUUGUCAUGGUUUUCAUCCUGCCUCAAGGCCAGCUCAUAUAAGGUAAAUGGAAAUGUCACUGGGGACACGGAAGCCAAGGCAUCACUUCUGUCACACCAUAGCUAAUUUGAAGACACAGAGAAACAAAGUAUCCUUGUCAGUCU